This 774-nucleotide ribosomal RNA is filed under the name uncultured Neocallimastigales. RNAcentral's name for it is "partial large subunit ribosomal RNA". It matches the Rfam family "Eukaryotic large subunit ribosomal RNA", at positions 22 to 635 of the family's 3401-position model. Lineage: Eukaryota; Fungi; Neocallimastigomycota; Neocallimastigomycetes; Neocallimastigales. The record is from RNAcentral.
CUAUACAUGACUCUGCGCAUAUCAAUAAGCGGAGGAAAAGAAACUAACAAGGAUUCCCCUAGUAACGGCGAGUGAAGCGGGAAGAGCUCAAAUUUGAAAUCUUAAAGGGUUUCCCUUUACGAAUUGUAGUUUAAAGAAGUGUUUUCUGUUGAGGUUUUGGUAAAAGUUCUUUGGAAUAGGACAUCAUAGAGGGUGAGAAUCCCGUAUUUGACCUUUACUUUCAACUUUGUGAUACACUUUCAAAGAGUCGGAUUGUUUGGGAAUGCAGUCCAAAAUGGGUGGUAAAUUUCAUCUAAAGCUAAAUAUUGGCGAGAGACCGAUAGCGAACAAGUACCGUGAGGGAAAGAUGAAAAGAACUUUGAAAAGAGAGUUAAACAGUACGUGAAAUUGUCAAAAGGGAAGCGUUUGACACCAGUGUUGUUUUUCUGAAAAUCAAUUAAAGAACUGUUUAUGCUAAGCUGUUUAGACUUUAUCAGCUAUCUGUUUAGUUUUGAGCUUUUCUUUAAUGCACUUUUCAGUUAACAAGUCAACAUCAAUUUCUUUUGCUGUAAAAAAGCUUGAGGAAGGUGGCUUGAGAUUCGUCUUAAGUGUUUAUAGCCUCUUGCCUAUGCAGUCGGAGAGAUUGAGGUCUGCAGCGUAGAUCCUUCGGGGCUAAAUGCAUUUGUGCUAAGUUAUAGCAUUUUAUAGACAACUUGUUGACUAUGAUUUGUCUUGUAGCUUACUCGCUUAUGUUAUUUUACCUACGCUUAGGAUGUUGAUCUACAGAGCGAGAGU